GAUGAACGCUGGCGGCGUGCCUAAUACAUGCAAGUCGAGCGAACAGACGAGGAGCUUGCUCCUCUGACGUUAGCGGCGGACGGGGGAGUAACACGUGGAUAACCUCCCUAUAAGUCUGGGAUGACUUCGGGAAACCGGAGCUGAUACCGGGUAAUAUAUUGAACCGCAUGGUUCAAUAGUGAGAGACGGUUUUGCUGUCACUUAGAGAUGGAUUCGCGCCGCAUUAGCUAGUUGGUAAGGUAACGGCUUACCAAGGCAACGAUGCGUAGCCGACCUGAGAGGGUGAUCGGCCACACUGGAACUGAGACACGGUCCAGACUCCUACGGGAGGCAGCAGUAGGGAAUCUUCCGCAAUGGGCGAAAGCCUGACGGAGCAACGCCGCGUGAGUGAUGAAGGUCUUCGGAUCGUAAAACUCUGUUAUUAGGGAAGAACAAAUGUGUAAGUAACUAUGCACGUCUUGACGGUACCUAAUCAGAAAGCCACGGCUAACUACGUG
Molecule: ribosomal RNA, 497 nt
Filed under: uncultured bacterium
Lineage: Bacteria
Description: partial 16S ribosomal RNA
Rfam family: Bacterial small subunit ribosomal RNA
Source: RNAcentral